AAUGAACUUUGGAACUUCAUGGUUGACACGCAUGCGUAUUGCAUCCAUUUUAUUAUUGACCGGUCAAUAAAUAUUUCAUUGCGGAGCGGUUGCUAACCUGAAGUUCAGGCCCUAAUUUGAAAUAGGGCCUGACACAAAACCUGUCUAGACCGUGGGACGCCCACAUGUUAUUUUUAGACACACAUGCAAUAUGAUUGACAAGUGUUGUAGAUUUCGUUACACAAAAAAAUUAUAUUCUCAUGAACAUGUCCGCAGAGCAUUUUGCUUUUUAAUUAAACUUAAAAUUCAAGGUACUUUUAUAUAAUU
Paramuricea clavata is the source of this 306-nucleotide non-coding RNA. The record is from the annotation of a GenBank genome assembly. NCBI's taxonomy places the organism in Eukaryota, Metazoa, Cnidaria, Anthozoa, Malacalcyonacea, Plexauridae.